ACUCCUACGGAGGCAGCAGUGGGGAAUUUUGGACAAUGGGCGAAAGCCUGAUCCAGCAAUGCCGCGUGAGUGAAGAAGGCCUUCGGGUUGUAAAGCUCUUUUGUCAGGGAAGAAACGGUGAGAGCUAAUAUCUCUUGCUAAUGACGGUACCUGAAGAAUAAGCACCGGCUAACUACGUGCCAGCAGCCGCGGUAAUACGUAGGGUGCAAGCGUUAAUCGGAAUUACUGGGCGUAAAGCGUGCGCAGGCGGUUUUGUAAGUCUGAUGUGAAAUCCCCGGGCUCAACCUGGGAAUUGCAUUGGAGACUGCAAGGCUAGAAUCUGGCAGAGGGGGGUAGAAUUCCACGUGUAGCAGUGAAAUGCGUAGAUAUGUGGAGGAACACCGAUGGCGAAGGCAGCCCCCUGGGUCAAGAUUGACGCUCAUGCACGAAAGCGUGGGGAGCAAACAGGAUUAGAAACCCGGGUAGUCCCAUGA
RNAcentral lists this ribosomal RNA (473 nucleotides) under uncultured organism. Its description in RNAcentral is "partial 16S ribosomal RNA". It matches the Rfam family "Bacterial small subunit ribosomal RNA", at positions 335 to 800 of the family's 1533-position model. The record is from RNAcentral.